GAAGGGGAGUGAAAUAGAUCCUGAAACCGUGUGCCUACAAGUAGUCGAAGCCCGUUAAUGGGUGACGGCGUACCUUUUGUAGAAUGGACCGGCGAGUUACGAUCCCCUGCAAGGUUAAGUUGUAUAGACGGAGCCGCAGCGAAAGCGAGUCUGAAUAGGGCGAUAUAGUAGGUGGUCGUAGACCCGAAACCGUGUGAUCUACCCAUGUCCAGGGUGAAGGUCAGGUAACACUGACUGGAGGCCCGAACCCACGCACGUUGAAAAGUGCGGGGAUGAGGUGUGGGUAGGGGUGAAAUGCCAAUCGAACACGGAGAUAGCUGGUUCUCUCCGAAAUAGCUUUAGGGCUAGCCUCAAAGGAUGAUGGUUGGAGGUAGAGCACUGAUUGGACUAGGGGCCCUCAUCGGGUUACCGAAUUCAGUCAAACUCCGAAUGCCAAUCAAUCUACUUUGGGAGUCAGACCAUGGGUGAUAAGGUUCAUGGUCGAAAGGGAAACAGCCCAGACCGCCAGCUAAGGUCCCAAAGUGUGUGUUAAGUGGAAAAGGAUGUGGCGUUGCUUAGACAACCAGGAUGUUGGCUUAGAAGCAGCCAUCAUUGAAAGAGUGCGUAAUAGCUCACUGGUCGAGUGACGCUGCGCCGAAAAUAUACCGGGGCUAAACACACCACCGAAGCUGCGGAUUGACAUCUACGAUGUCAGUGGUAGGAGAG
Molecule: ribosomal RNA, 705 nt
Filed under: Terribacillus saccharophilus
Lineage: Bacteria; Bacillati; Bacillota; Bacilli; Caryophanales; Bacillaceae
Description: bacterial LSU rRNA
Rfam family: Bacterial large subunit ribosomal RNA
Source: RNAcentral